Molecule: long non-coding RNA, 562 nt
Filed under: Vitis vinifera (wine grape)
Lineage: Eukaryota; Viridiplantae; Streptophyta; Magnoliopsida; Vitales; Vitaceae
Description: long non-coding RNA (VVIN_LNC005617)
Source: RNAcentral
UAUGUCAAACUUUCACAAGGGAGCAUGGUAUCUAGUUGUUCUUUUCGUAUUUUCCAUGACAAUCAUGCUUUCAUGGCACUAUGGCACCAUGAAGAAGUAUGAGUUUGAUUUACAGAAUAAGGUGUCCAUGGAAUGGAUUACAGUGAUGAGCCCUGGUCUUGGGGUCUCCAGGGUCCCUGGAAUUGGCUUCAUCUACACUGAUAUUGUGUCAGGAAUCCCAGCUUUUUUCUCCCACUUCAUUACAAAUCUUCCUGCAUAUCACCAAGUGCUGAUCUUUGUGUCAUUCAAGUCCUUACCAGUGCCUUGUGUCCCCCAAAAGCAGAGGUAUCUCAUAGGGAGGCUUGGCGCCAAGGACUAUAAAGUUUACCGAUGUAUUGUAAGAUAUGGAUACUGUGAUAACAUCAGGGACACAGAUGAUUUUGAGGAUCAGAUUAUCCGUUGUAUUGGAGAAUUCAUUGCUUUGGAAGAAAAUGAUUUGGAAUCCUUGACCUCCCCAGAAGGAAGAAUGAUUGUUGUUGGAAACCCAAUGCUGGAUGGAAAUGCCUUGGUUCCCAUCCCUGAA